RNAcentral lists this ribosomal RNA (253 nucleotides) under uncultured bacterium. Its description in RNAcentral is "partial 16S ribosomal RNA". It matches the Rfam family "Bacterial small subunit ribosomal RNA", at positions 524 to 776 of the family's 1533-position model. The record is from RNAcentral.
UACGGAGGGGGCUAGCGUUGUUCGGAAUCAUUGGGCGUAAAGGGCGCGUAGGCGGCCGAUCAAGUCGGAGGUGAAAUCCCUCGGCUCAACUGAGGAAUUGCCUUCGAUACUGUUCGGCUUGAGUCCUGGAGAGGGUAGCGGAAUUCCUGGUGUAGCGGUGAAAUGCGCAGAUAUCAGGAAGAACACCAAUGGCGAAAGCAGCUCUCUGGGACGGUACUGACGCUGAGACGCGAAAGCGUGGGGAGCGAACAGG